This is a long non-coding RNA of Polistes canadensis, 1688 nucleotides long. RefSeq lists it as uncharacterized. NCBI's taxonomy places the organism in Eukaryota, Metazoa, Arthropoda, Insecta, Hymenoptera, Vespidae. The record is from RefSeq and is a predicted model, not a curated record. The transcript is spliced from 2 exons.
UUAUACGUUAAAGGAUUUUAUGGAACUACGACGCUGGAGAAUACGCAUUUUCUCGUUAACCUCUUUAUUUGUGACUUAAAUAUCGAUUAGACAUAAGUAAAGAUUUUUUUAUUUUCUAAGAGAAGUAAUUGUUAAAUAAAGAAUAUUAUUCGAAGAAAACAAAGGUAUACAUUUUGUAGACGAAGGAAAUAAUUGGCUCUUUUUGGUGGAUUACGCAAAACUGCAGAUAAGGAGAAUGGUUAUGCGAAAAGAUAAUAAAACAUAAAUCAAUCAUUUAAAAAUAACUCGAAUAUUUGUUCAGUUUAUUCGUUAAUAGAAAAGAGUUAAUUGGAAUCGUAAAAGAAAAGGCAGCCUUGAUCCUUUAACCUAUAUAUUUAAGUCCUAGGUCAAUGUAAUUGAAGGAUCAAUAAAAUCUUUCGAAUGGCAGCAUCGAAUGGCAGCAUCGAACAUUUCGAGGAGACAAAGGAAAUAUUUCAUUAAAACGUUAACACGAAUUAAUCUACAGUACGUAAGCAUAUAGCAAACCCUAGAUUUGAUGACAUCACAGGAGAAAAGAAAAUGAGUCAUAUGCCAUUCUACUCAGAUGGUAGACCAAUUCCAUUAUCGGUAUAUAAAAGGAGAGAAUAAUGUUCAAAGAUGACACCGAUAGACAGACGGCGGGGACAAGCAACAGCAGAAAAAUAAAAAAGAAAGAUAAAGAAGAUACAGCAUGAACGAACCAAUGCGACAAAUUAUAAUUCGUUCAAAUGCAAUGAUAACAAUGAUUCCAAUUAUAGAUAGAUAAGAAAAUAAAAAAACAAUUGGAUGAGCAUUUACCUUAGCUUUUAGAUGGUCCUAAAACAGAAUGUCGACGAUCCCAGAACUUGACCCAACAGCAGCAGCGAGGGAGAGAGAGGAUAUUCGUAAGUAAGUAAAAUGUAUGUAUGUGAAACUAGUGGCUUGGAGUGCGCGCGCGACACGAACGCGCGUUAAAAUACGAAGAUAUGUUCGGGUCUGUUCGGCUUUUGUGGGGGAAUCGAUUCUUCUCCAAGCCCUCGAAGUUCGAGAGACUCGCGCUCCUUAUUCGGAGCGUUCUUGACAUCGAAUCGCGAAUACGAUGACCAACAACGACGUACGAACUGCAGUAGAGUAGAGUAAAGUAAGUAUUUAAGCAGCAGCAGCAGCAACCAACGAAGAGUAAACGAAGUAGUAAACGAAGAACGGUGCGUGAGUCAUUCCCCAUUUGCACCAAAAGGAACAACCACAACCUACACUUUCCUCAUCCUGUUCCUCCUUCUCCACCUCCUCGUUUUCCACCUCCUUCAACUCCUACUUGCAAUCCAGACAUGAUGCAGCAACACCAAGGGAAAAGAGAAAAGAGAAGAGAAGAGAAGAGAAAGAGAGAAGAGAAAAAGACGUGGAUGAAGAUAGACCUUGUCUUGAGGGGGUGUGUUGAAGAAUACAAUUUGACUAGAGACAUUUAAUUCCAUUCGAAAGAAUGAUUUCACUAUUCUACAGACAAACCAGACAAAUUGCAAGAAGACCAGAUAAAUGCAACCCCCACCCAUCCACCUCUAUGCUGUGCAACAUAUUCUUCUCUUUUUCCCCCUUUUUUUUUUUAAUGAAAUUUAUUCUAUUCUACUGUUACUUUCUGUUUAUUUUCAUUAUGUAAGAAAUAAAGCAUGUUGGAAGAUAUGUCUACAUGUAUA